Molecule: ribosomal RNA, 560 nt
Filed under: uncultured bacterium
Lineage: Bacteria
Description: bacterial SSU rRNA
Rfam family: Bacterial small subunit ribosomal RNA
Source: RNAcentral
GGCGGCGUGCUUACACAUGCAAGUCGAACGAACCUUCGGGUUAGUGGCGGACGGGUGAGUAACGCGUGAGAAUCUGCCCUCAGGAGGGGGACAACAGCUGGAAACGGCUGCUAAUACCCCAUAUGCCGCGAGGUGAAAUGAAUUUCGCCUGAGGAUGAGCUCGCGUCUGAUUAGCUAGUUGGUGUAGGUAAUGGCUCACCAAGGCAUCGAUCAGUAGCUGGUCUGAGAGGAUGAUCAGCCACACUGGGACUGAGACACAGCCCAGACUCCUACGGGAGGCAGCAGUGGGGAAUUUUCCGCAAUGGGCGAAAGCCUGACGGAGCAACGCCGCGUGAGGGAUGAAGGCCUCUGGGCUGUAAACCUCUUUUAUCAAGGAAGAAGAUCUGACGGUACUUGAUGAAUAAGCCACGGCUAAUUCCGUGCCAGCAGCCGCGGUAAUACGGGAGUGGCAAGCGUUAUCCGGAAUUAUUGGGCGUAAAGCGUCCGCAGGCGGCCCUUCAAGUCUGCUGUUAAAAAGUGGAGCUUAACUCCAUCAUGGCAGUGGAAACUGUUGGGCUUGA